AGAAUUUAGUUUAAAUUAAAACCUUAAUUUGUCAAAUUAAAAUUACUCCAUUAGUAUUUCUUUA
RNAcentral lists this transfer RNA (64 nucleotides) under Leptocorisa oratoria. RNAcentral's name for it is "tRNA-Asp". The record is from RNAcentral. Lineage: Eukaryota; Metazoa; Arthropoda; Insecta; Hemiptera; Alydidae.